Molecule: long non-coding RNA, 294 nt
Organism: Lepus europaeus (European hare)
Lineage: Eukaryota; Metazoa; Chordata; Mammalia; Lagomorpha; Leporidae
Exons: 3
Source: RefSeq, a predicted model, not a curated record
AACUUUUGAAGAUGUAGUGGAUGGAGGCCAGGGAUGCUGCUGGACCUCCAGCACUCAGAACAGCACCCAUACUGAAGAAUCAACUGGCUCUAAACAUUAAGAGCAGUACAGCUGAGAAACCCUGCCUUAGUUCAAGCUCCCCCAGAUGCUGAGGGACACAGAUGAUUGAAAUGACUGCUGGGCUGCCUCAGAAGCAGGUACUCCCUGUGAAAACAAAAGAAAAAGAAGAACAAAAACUGCCCGUUCUCCAAGGAGGGACAGAUGAGUCUGAACUCCGCCCCCCCCACCCCGGGG